RNAcentral lists this small RNA (212 nucleotides) under Arabidopsis thaliana (thale cress). RNAcentral describes it as "ATSL058740". The record is from RNAcentral. Lineage: Eukaryota; Viridiplantae; Streptophyta; Magnoliopsida; Brassicales; Brassicaceae.
AAGUAAAAUUAAUUAUUUUGGAGAAAAGAUUUAAUGCUAAUGGCAUUGAGUUGUAAAUAAGUCCAAAUUCAGGAUUUAUUUGUUAAAAUGGCUGCAAAAAUGUAUAUGUAGAUUUUUUGAAAGAAGUGAUUGAAAGAAUAUUUGCUGCAAUGAAAGACUACCAAAUCGACAAUAAGAACAGGUAGCAUUAGGCAUGAUUCAUCAGGAGCAAA